AAGUCGUAACAAGGUUUCCGUAGGUGAACCUGCGGAAGGAUCAUUAUCAAUAGAAAUCUUUCAAUAAACCCUCGAAAGAUCUUUUCCUUUGUGCUGUCUUUGACCGUAUGUAAUUUUGGGACUUUAAUAUGGUUUCCGUUGGUAAGACAACGGAGCCGGUCCCAAAGAACACAAAUAUCUCAUCCUAAAAUAUUCUGAACUUUUUAAGUGAUUUUAAUAAUCUGUUUAAAACAACUUUCAACAACGGAUCUCUUGGUUCUCGCAUCGAUGAAGAACGCAGCGAAAUGCGAUACGUAAUGUGAAUUGCAGAAUUCAGUGAAUCAUCGAAUCUUUGAACGCACAUUGCACUCCUUGGUAUUCCGAGGAGUAUGCCUGUUUCAGUAUCAUGAGCACCCUCCCGCCUAACCUUUGGGUUUUUGGCGAGGAAUUGGAAUGCGCCGACUCUUCACAGGGUUGGCACUUCUAAAAUGUAGUUCUUGACUGUCACCUAAUACAGCAGUUUGNCCUAAUAGUUUUGGCAUUUAUUGUCAAAUCUUUGGCUAACAUUUGCUCCNGGAGACAGGCUUGAUAAAUACAGAAAAACUCANUCAAAUUUGAUCUGAAAUCAGGUAGGGCUACCCGCUGAACUUAAGCAUAUCAAUAAGCGGAGGAAAAGAAACUAACAAGGAUUCCCCUAGUAACGGCGAGUGAAGCGGGAAGAGCUCAAAUUUAAAAUCUGGUUUGCUUGCAANUCCGAGUUGUAGUCUGAAGAAGUGUUUUCCAUGGAAGCUGAGGCACAAGUCCUUUGGAACAGGGCAUCAUAGAGGGUGAGAAUCCCGUCCAUGGCCUCAAGUCUUUUCAUUUUGUGAUACGCUUUCUAAGAGUCAGGUUGUUUGGGAAUGCAGCCUAAAAUGGGUGGUAAAUUUCAUCUAAAGCUAAAUAUUGGCGAGAGACCGAUAGCGAACAAGUACCGUGAGGGAAAGAUGAAAAGAACUUUGAAAAGAGAGUUAAAAAGUACGUGAAAUUGUUGAAAGGGAACCGUUUGAAGCCAGUCUUGCUUACUUGUGAUCAGUCUUUGCUUCGGCUUGGAUGCACUCUCAGGUUAUGCAGGUCAACGUCAGUUUGAGAGGUGGGAAAAAAGCUUGAGGAAUGUGGCCUUCGGGUGUUAUAGCCUCUUGCUAAAUACCGUCUUUUGGACUGAGGCUCGCAGCAAAAAAGUGGGCAGGUUUGCGUUUGAUGUGAUCCAUUAUCAAGACAGCUUGCUGACUUGGUUUUGGUUAUCCUCACUGUAGGCUUUGCUUCUAAUUUGCUUAGGUCGUUGACAUAAUGGCUUUAAAUGACC
RNAcentral lists this ribosomal RNA (1321 nucleotides) under uncultured fungus. Its description in RNAcentral is "eukaryotic LSU rRNA". The stretch from base 595 to 1321 matches the Rfam family "Eukaryotic large subunit ribosomal RNA", at positions 1 to 649 of the family's 3401-position model. The record is from RNAcentral. Lineage: Eukaryota; Fungi.